Molecule: long non-coding RNA, 5419 nt
Filed under: Homo sapiens (human)
Lineage: Eukaryota; Metazoa; Chordata; Mammalia; Primates; Hominidae
Description: HSALNT0322741
Source: RNAcentral
GCUGGAUAUGGGAGUCUGGGGCUAAGAGGAGGGGUGUUGGCUAGAUAUAUAAGCUUUGAAGUCAUCAGCCUAUAAAUAUUGACAAAACAAGUGAGGUGGCAGAGGAAUUAGUGAACAUAGAAAAAAAAGAGGUCUGAGGAUUGAGAUCAGAGGCAUGCCCAUAUAUUAAAGAUUAAGGAACAGAGGAAGAAUCCACAAAGGAGAUUGAGAAGGAGUAGUCAGGGAGGUAGAAAGCAAGCCAAGAGACUGUCUCAAGUAGAAGGGAAUGAUCAACUGCUGACUGAUUAAGUAAGAUAAGGACUGAGACUUAGCAACAUGGAGGUCAUCAGUGAUUUUUGACUAGCUCAACCUGUGAGAGUGAAAACAUGACUGAAGUGAGUUCAAAGGGAAGUGGAGGAGUGGUCUUAGAGACAGUGAAUGCAGUCAGUCCUUUAAAUUUUGUCCUGAAGGGGAGUCGAGAUAUGAUAUAAGGAAAAGAUUUUCAUUUUUCCAAUGGAAGAUAAUAUAGCACAUUUACUUGCUGGUGAGAAUGAUCCAAGAGAGGAGGAAAAAACUGAUAAAAGACAGGGAAAGAAGGGACAAAGUACAAUUACUAAAACUUUCAAGGAAGGGGAAGAAACUAAGACUAUAAGUAGAGGGAUUGUCUUAGCUCAGGGGAUGGAACAUGUGUGUACUGUAGCACGCAGGGUGCACUAACAGAUGCAAGUGAAUGUGGUGAUGGGAAUGAGGAGGGGCAUUUUCAGGUUGCUUUAAUUUUCUUAGUGAAUUUGGAGGUAAGGGCAUGAACUUGAAAUGAGGGUGGAAAAGGAGAUAUUGUAGGAAAAGAUACAAAAUAGUCAUUUAGGAGGGUGGGAGAGGAACUAAACAAGGAGAAUGGGGCAGUAAAUAGACUAGGAAGAUGUAGUGGGAUUGCUGAAUAGCACAAAAGUCUCACCGGAGGUGAGUGAUAACGAGUUUAAAUCAGGACCGCCUGGUUUGGAUGUGUAUUUUCUCCUGCCAUAUUAAGCUGCAGGCAUGUGCAAACAUCAUGUGUGGGGAAUUGAAUUAAGCCAGGACUGGGUCCUUUUCAAGAAAAUACAAUGAAAGGAGAGAAGGGCAAGAGAGUUGAAAGUGUAUGCAAGGGAAUUUAUACUGAUGGACUGUAGAAUCUACACAGGGUAAGGACGCGAGGUGAGUGCGGGACAGUGAAAAGGUGGUGGCAUCAGAUUAACUAAUUUUCAGUCCCAAAGGACCAGAAAUAUUUUAGGAAUUGGGAUGUUAGUGGGAAUAAACUAUUAGGUUGGUGCAAAAGUAAUUUUCUUGUUUGUUUGGUUUUUUGUUUGUUUGUUUGUUUUGCCCUUACUUUUGCACCAACCUAACAGGAAAAAUCAGUGGUUAUGGUCAGAAAGUGGGAAGCUUGAAGUUGAGAUUAUCAAGUUAAUAUCAGUGCAGUCAUUGGUAAUGAUAAGUUCUAGGAUCUAAGCAAUGGGAAGAAAGAAGUUGGCUGAAGAAAUGAUGGAAAUUAAUUAUAUAAUUGAAGAAAAAGAAGUCAAGGCACUGAGAGCAUGUUCAGUUGGCAGAAAUUCCAUGACAGCAUCUACAAGGGCAUAUUGGAGAGAGUGAGGUCAUUUCAGAGAGGCUUCAGGAUGGAGUUGUGAUAAACGCAUGUGUUCAGUCUACAAUGUUUAACAGGGAGUGCCUCUUGAUUUUUUCAUGUGAAUUACUGAGGAGUAGGUAGUAGACUAUCUUGAUGCCCUUCCUCAUGUCCCUUUGACUCUGAGUUGACCUGCAGCUGCAGUGAACACUUCCUAAGGAUGCUGAUGUCUUCCCCUAUCAAGCACUUGCCUCAUUCUGCUUCUCCGAGGAUUUCCUCCAGUACACCAAGAGCUUGCCCGACACUCACAAGGUAUCCUGGAACUGCUGGGGACUGAAAACCCCUCAACCCAUGAAGAAUGAGGAUCAGUGGAUUAAUAGCAACUGUCCCAUACCUUGGUGGGACUAUUAUAAGGCAUUCUGGUUGGUUCCUCAGAGGUCCCAAAUGGGAUUGAACCAAAGUUGCCCACAGUAAAAACUCAUUCACCAACUCAAUUUUCAUUUCACCCCUCUCAAUUUGCACACUCACUCACUUGUUCUACCUGGGAUACUCUCCAAGAUAAACUCCUGUAUCCAAAGCUUUGUCUCAAGGUCUCAUUUGGGAGGAACUCAAACUAAGAUAAUAGGUACUGGAAGUGACUACAGAAAGUAUAUUAUCAAUGGUAUGGAGGCAACAAAAACCCCAUUAAUGGUGGUGAGUAAGGUGGUGACAAACCCUGGCACUUUGAAGAAUUUCAUUACCCACAAUUGACCCAUGGUGUACUUGGAUGAGGUAAAAAUGAAAGGAGACGCUAACCUUAUGCAAUAGUGCUAACUCCUGAAAGAUAUAGGGCUGUGAUAAUCACAGGAAUUGAAGAGUUGUCUUGUUCUUGUUAACUCCCCUAGAAGAAUUGGGAAAAAAGAAAGAUAGGUUUACAACAUCCAACUACCCAUUCAGAGCAUAGCAAUGAAAGCCAGAAGGUCUCCUUGGGAGAAUCUGAAGAGACCCCCAUUUCCUGCAACCAGAGGGCAGGCUGUUCUAAAAAAAUGACAUUCAGGGGUUCACUGCAAGAGGAAUUGAACUACAGAGCAGACUGAAGACACAGUCCAGGCAGGCCUCUCAUGCAAAAGUCAAAGCCCUAGAGGAAGGAAAUGGUCCUUAAAAACUACUGGGAUGCAGGCAGGCAUCUGGAUAGAUGUGCUAGAUAACCUUGAACCCCUAGAUUCCCUGAACAACCCAGGCUAGCAGGAGUAUCCUGCACCCUGUUACUUGAACAGAACAGCUUCCCUUUGCCUAGAGACUCUACACAGUCCUCCUCUGAAGCAGACACCUCCAAGAUUACUUCAAGGUCUGCUACUUCCUGCCCUCAUUGCCUCUAUUCCAAAAACUGGAAACAAGUCUCAGCAUGCCCUGAGCAGGGUAGCACAUUUCUUGCUGUGAGAGAUAUGACAGAUUGUAUUUUCUAAAGAAGGCUGCAACCAUGUCUCUCAUCCCAAAUGCUCUUCUACAAUGCAAUCUUGUCACUCCUCUACCAAGAGAUGAAACCUAAUUUCAAUGCCCUUGAAUCUAAGCUGGACUUUACUUGCUUUGACCUGUAAUGUACAGAAGUGACACUGUGUGAUUCUUACAGCUGAGUCAUAAAAGGUGAUGCAGCUUCUGCCUUGUUCCUGGGGACAUAUGCCUCUGUGAGAUUGAGCUACUAAAUAACAAGACCACCUACCUUGAGGCUGCCAUGCUGGAAGAAAGCAAAGCCACAUGAAGAGCAAGUAAGCUGGUUGCUUUAGCAAGAUCCUUCAUAUUGAUAGUGAAUGUGCACUUCUGUCUUUCUCUUGUGAAUGCAAACCACUUUUUCAAUAGUCUCACGUUAAGUGCCAAAGAUUGUUGUUUUUGUUGAAUGCAUUCUCUUUAUCAUUCACUACCUGGCCCUAGGAAUUUGUUCAAUGAUCCUCAUUUCUGUUACAAUAUAGUCUUCAGUGACCUUGAUCAUCUUCACAUUCUAUAGAACAUCAUCCUGGCCCAUUAUAUUAAUGACAGAAUAAUAAUUGAACUUGGUUUUUAGGAAGGAGCAAGUAUACUGGUUUUAAAUACUUCAUGCUGAAGGAAUGAGAGAUAAGCCCUACAAAGUUUUGGAAGUCUGCCACAUCAGGGAAUAUUUUAGGGGCCCAAAGAUCCAGGGGUAUGUUGAGACACCCUACUCAAAAGAAUACUUUACAUUUCCUACCACUAAGACAGAGGCACAGCACUUGGUGAGCUGCUUUGAAUUCCUGAGGCAAAAAAAUAACAAUAAUAAAUACUACCCAUGAGAAUAAUGCUCUGAUCUAUUGUAUCAGAAGACUAUUGACUUUGCGGGGGUCUGAGAGAGUAUCUGAAUAGCCUUUUAAAGACUUAAAAAGGCAUUGGCUUAGGAAUUGCACCUUGCAUGGCUAGGUCAUUGUCCUCGAGGAUACAGCAUAUUUGUUGAACCAGUGAUCACUAUAUGCAAUCACUGUGCUGUUUUCCCAGCAUUUGGAAUACACAGGAAUGAUAAUUAAAGGAUACAAGUAGGACUGACUUAAACACACUCCCUUUCACCCAUUAGUGGAAAUUAUGUUUUUAAUUCUUACAACUUUAGGCUCUUCCUGAUUAAAAGCCUUGGUCUCAAGGUGUGUGUACAGACGGAGACAGUAAGUGUUCCACUGCAUCAAUGCAGUGCCAUCUGAGGAUUUGGGCAUCUCCAUACUGACAGGUCAGCAGGCAAAAAUGGGAGUACUAUACUGGCAGGGACACCUGACUGAUUAUCUUGAAGAGUCGGAGUUGCUGCUACAUAAUGGGCCCAGGGAGGAAGAUGUCUAGAACUUGGGGGAAUCACUCAGGCCCCCCUUAGUGCUUCUUUGUCUGGCGAUAAUAGCAGAGAAGCAAUUGAAGUAGCCAUGUCCUCACAAGGGCAAGGUAAUCAAGGCCCAGCCACUCAGAGAUGAAGGUCUGGUCAUACACUGAGCAAGCAAUGAUGACUAGUGGAAGUGCUAGCCAAGGAUUCGGGAAAUCUAGAAGAAGUGGAAUUGGAGAGAGAUGAUGAGUAUAGAUUAUAGCCUUGGGACCAGCUGCAGCAGUGAAGAUUGUGACUUGUUCCACAUAUUCUUCUAUUUUCAGUCAUUUUUGGAGAUUGCAGCCAGCUACAACUCUGAAAUGUCAGUAACAGAGCAAACUAAGGGUGGGCAUGAGAGGAUCUGCUGAGAGCAAGGAAUGAACAUGGUAGUCACUAAUGAUACACUGCCCAUGUUCCCCGGCUCACCUGUUAGCUCCCCGGCAGCUUGCAAACAUGUCUAUACACACUGCCAUCUUCCUACCACGAGUGCCAUAACUCUCUGCUUCUCUGCUGAGGCCCUUCUCAGCUCACAGUGCGAGUAGCCUGCAAGUGCUAAGGGCAUAAUGCCUCCAAGGUCAACUUUAAUCAACGAGGUUCAAGAGUCAGAAGAGUGAAUUCCUUCUGAGAUACAUUCUUUCUGGUUUCUCAGAGGCUCCCCAGAGGAAGUAGGCCCCAGUUGCUUAGGAAAAAUGGAACCUACUUAUUAAGGCACCCCCUUUUUACUUUUCUCCUUUCUUUCUCUCCCUUUCCCCACUCCAUUCCGUGAAGUUCCUGGGAUCACCAAAUAAACUAUCUGUAAUCAAAUCUUUAUCUCACUCUGCAUUCUGGGGAACCCAAACAAAGAUGGUAAGUUUGCCUAUCUACAUUUAUGUCUUAUUUGCUACAAGUAUUACUGGUAAUUUUCUUGACAAAAGUAAUAUGAUAUCUGCUGAUAGGCCAAAAUAAUACAUAUUUAUAGUGAUAACUGCAGCAAAAAUGUGAAAACCAAUUUUAAAAAGUUAUUUUCACUAGUUUAAGAAAAA